GGUGACUCUCCAACCCUAUGUUAAUUAUACCUUUGUUGCUUUGGCGAGCCGCUCCGGCCACCGGCUUCUCGCUGGUGAGUGCUCGCCAGAGGACCCUAAACUCUGUUAUACAUGUCGUCUGAGUACUAUAUAAUAGUUAAAACUUUCAACAACGGAUCUCUUGGUUCUGGCAUCGAUGAAGAACGCAGCGAAAUGCGAUAAGUAAUGUGAAUAGCAGAAUUUAGUGAAUCAUCGAAUCUUUGAACGCACAUUGCGCCCUGUGGUAUUCCGCAGGGCAUGCCUGUUCGAGCGUCAGUACAUCACUCAAGCCUAGCUUGGUCUUGGGCCUCGCCGGAAACGGCGGGCCUUAAAAUCAGUGGCGGUGUCUGUUAGGCCCUAAGCGUAGUAAUACUCCUCGCUACAGGGACCCGGCGGGUGCUGGCCAGCAACCCCCAACUUUCUAAGUUUGACCUCGGAUCAGGUAGGGAUACCCGCUGAACUUAAGCAUAUCAAUAA
Molecule: ribosomal RNA, 495 nt
Filed under: uncultured Phialophora
Lineage: Eukaryota; Fungi; Ascomycota; Leotiomycetes
Description: eukaryotic LSU rRNA
Rfam family: 5.8S ribosomal RNA (bases 141-294)
Source: RNAcentral